This 159-nucleotide ribosomal RNA is filed under the name Oulastrea crispata. RNAcentral's name for it is "5.8S ribosomal RNA". It matches the Rfam family "5.8S ribosomal RNA". Rfam says of the family: 5.8S ribosomal RNA (5.8S rRNA) is a component of the large subunit of the eukaryotic ribosome. It is transcribed by RNA polymerase I as part of the 45S precursor that also contains 18S and 28S rRNA. Lineage: Eukaryota; Metazoa; Cnidaria; Anthozoa; Scleractinia; Oulastreidae. The record is from RNAcentral.
AGACAACUUUUGACGGUGGAUCUCUUGGCUCACGCAUCGAUGAAGAACCGCAGCCAGCUGCGAUAAGUAGUGUGAAUUGCAGAAUUCAGUGAAUCAUCGAAUCUUUGAACGCAAAUGGCGCUCUUGGGUUCUCCCAGGAGCAUGUCUGUCUGAGUGUCG